Molecule: ribosomal RNA, 426 nt
Filed under: uncultured bacterium
Lineage: Bacteria
Description: bacterial SSU rRNA
Rfam family: Bacterial small subunit ribosomal RNA
Source: RNAcentral
AGGGAAUAUUGCGCAAUGGGGGAAACCCUGACGCAGCAACGCCACGUGAGUGAGGAAGGCCUUCGGGUUGUAAAGCUCUGUCCUAAGGGAAAAAUGGCAGGUGAUCUAAUAGGUCAUCUGAUUGAUGGUACCUUAGAAGAAAGCACCGGCUAACUUCGUGCCAGCAGCCGCGGUAAUACGAAGGGUGCAAGCGUUGUUCGGAUUUAUUGGGCGUAAAGCGCGCGCAGGCGGAAGAGCAAGUCAGAUGUGAAAUCUCGGGGCUUAACCCCGAACGUGCGUCUGAAACUACUUUUCUGGAGUAGCGAAGGGGGAAGGGGAAUUUCACAUGUAGGGGUAAAAUCCGUAGAGAUGUGAAGGAACACCAGAGGCGAAGGCGCCUUCCUGGUCGCUUACUGACGCUGAGGCGCGAAAGCGUGGGGAUCAAAC